Molecule: long non-coding RNA, 2952 nt
Organism: Stegostoma tigrinum
Lineage: Eukaryota; Metazoa; Chordata; Chondrichthyes; Orectolobiformes; Stegostomatidae
Exons: 3
Source: RefSeq, a predicted model, not a curated record
GAGGAUUUUCCAUUCCAAGAGAGGCAGUUUGAAGCUUGCAUUCACUAACAGCCUACUUUUAGAGAUCGUGCAAGCUCCUGCUAGCUGACCUCUGAGACACAAUCAGUCAGUGUGUUCAAUUGUUAAACAACAGGGCGAACGUUCAAGGGUACCCAGGCAAGAGUGAUUGCUGUUUUCACUUCACCACUUUUCUCACGUAAAGAGCUGCAGAUUUGGGGAAUCUCAAAAAGAAACAAAAACUGCUGGAGAAACUCAACAGGAAUGGAAGUACCUGUGAGUAGAUUUGAGUAGCUGAAUGGCUUCCUCCUGUUCCUGUGUAACAUACUUGAGAGAAUGAAUGGCUGGGUUAUUAACAGCCACGAAACUGGAUCUGACAGAUGUUCCUCCUGCCUGAGUUACAGAAAAACAAACAACACAAUGGACUCCAGGUUUCCUCUCAGUAAGACCUCAUAAAACUGCAGGAACACUUCCCGAUGUUUUGAAUGAUACCUGCUGCAAAAUGAGCCAACAUUGCAGCUUUAUACUUCUUCAAGUGGUAAUUGGCGAGUGUGGACUGAAUGAUCUCUUCCUAUCCCUCUGUAAAAGGCACAUGGGGUGGAAUUGCUUCUCACUGUUCCUGAGCAGCAGGCUUAAUAGACUUUCUUAAGGCCAUGAACGGAUUUGAUAACAGCGUGUUCAAUAAUAGGAGAAGCAUCAUGCAAAGUCAAUGAGCAAUAACUAUUAUUAUCCUGCUUUAUGACUUCUAGAAAUGUCCCCACUAGUCAUUUUAUGCAUUGUCUGUUAUUUUAUCCCUAUCUCCAUUUAUAAACAGAGUGGGGCAUGCUGUGCAGUGUACUACUAUUAUAUGCAAGCAAGAAAGUUUAAAAAGAUGGGAAGAUUUAUGGUCCAUUCCUCAGCAAUUUCAUUCCUAUCAUCCAGACUGCAUAAAUAUUCCCUUUUAUUGUGAUAUGAAAAACCAUGUAAAGAGGGUGUUAACUGAAUCUGUUUGUUCAGUGAUUGUGAUUAAUUUCAGUCUCCAUGGAUUCUAAUUAUCCAAAUGGAUGGUUCCAUCUUUUAAUGAUAAAUGGACUCCGUUCGAUGUGUUAUCCCAUAGUAUGAGAGGGAGCAUAACCCACAACACUAACAGGAAUCAGCAGCUCCAGAGAGAAGGGGAGCAGAGGUCAGAGUCUGAGAAAAUUAUACUCAAAUACUCCAGCAAUGGAUCAGAAUCUGAGAACAAUAGACUGGAAUGCUGCAACAAUGGACAGGAGUUUAUCUGCAUAUGUUUGGCUUCUUUCUACACAUUAUGAUGGGAUGUCAUUACCAGGGCGGAUACAAUGCACGCUUUACAUUAUUCAAUGCUUUUAUUACCCUAUCCUUGCUGUCAUUGGUGUUGCUGGUAAGACUCACUGUUCGAUUUUUAUUUCUAUAUGCCUUGUUCAACUGUAUUGUUGUUCUUUUCAUUUACUCUACACUCUUAGCUGUUAUUCCUGCUAAGCCUCUGAGUCCAGACAUUCCGCUUCAAAACAGUAUUAACUGUAUCAGUGAACUUGUUCAUGAACUCUCUCCCUUUUGCUACUGGCAGUGUCCUCGUGGGUCUCUAUACUGAGCCAUACCAUUUCUGCUGUGAUUCGUUGCAUUCCUACAAUUGUUAUUUAAAUAUUGGGAGUAUGGAGGUUACUGUCUUCUGUUCUGGUUACAAAUUCCACUGACUCCAUCCCAUCAUGAACCAAUAUCUCAGGUUGAAACAGUUGAAUUACAAUGGCAGUGAUUAUUUUGGCCAUGAGCUGGUCCCUGAUCAUUCAUAAUUUUAACUACUGACAGUCUCAAAAUUUACUUUACUGGCUUGUCAGAUCUGCUAUUUAAACCUUGAGCUAUGAAACACAGUCUUUUUGGUGCCAAUAAUUUUGGACACCUGCUGCACAUAUGGGUUCAGUCCGGCGCAAGAUUUACACCAUCUCUCCCAGAUUUUCAAGGGCCAGCGAGAGCUCACCAGAUGCCAUCGGGAACACAAAGCUUUCCAAGGCAUGGGCCCCUCUUUCAGGGUCAAACCAGUCCAGGGUGCCCUGCCCUUUACAAAGAAAAGAGAACUAUCCCUGGGGGUCUCGCCAAUUUCUUCCGGAUUGUUUGCGGUAUCGCACUGGACACACUGAGGUGCCUGUCUCCACAUCUCUGGAUUCAGAGAUCUGAACCGGAAUCCCUUUUAAUUGGUGUUAUAACAUGCCAGACACUGUUCAUGACACGAUGGCUCAGUGGUUCGCUCUACUACUUCAUAGCACCCGGGACCUGGGUUCAAUUCUACCUGUGGAGUUUGCACGUUCUCCUUGAGCCUGUAUGAGGUUCUUCUGGGUGGUCCGGUUUCAUCCCAUAGUCCAAAGGUGUGCAGGUAGGUGGAUUGGCCAUGCUUUGUUGCCAGCUAUAUUCGGGGAUGUUUCAGAUGGGUGGGUUAGAAAUGGGGAAAUGCAGGAUUAAGGGAAUGUGUCAGUGUGGGAUCAUCUUUGGAGGGGUGAUGUGGACUUUUUGAUCUAGAUGCCCAGUUUCCAGACUGUAGGGAAUUCUAUGAUAUGAUGAGAAUAAUCUGCUGCUGACACUCCCAGAUUCAAACCUGCCUAAGUAGGCCUUGGUCAAUCCUGUACAGCUUGUAUCUGAACUCACAAAAAUCCCAUCCAUGUGUAAUUCCUGUGUGCACUGAACAAUAUUACUCUCAGAUCUGGUAGUGAUUUUAUUUUAAUAUUCUCAAGUACAAAAUCACAUCUAUCCAUGAAAUGUCGCUCAGUCUGUCUAAAUUGAUUCACAAAACACUGUCAGAUUUUCAUGCAUGAACUGAUUUCUUCCAUGUGUGUUGUGGCUCAAAUUUGGACAUGUACAACCGCCCUAUUCCCCCUACACACACACACACACACACACACACACACACACACACACACACAAACACACACACCCGCUUGGUUUGCCCUUGUGCAAUGGAGCUAU